This 497-nucleotide ribosomal RNA is filed under the name uncultured bacterium. RNAcentral describes it as "partial 16S ribosomal RNA". It matches the Rfam family "Bacterial small subunit ribosomal RNA", at positions 28 to 507 of the family's 1533-position model. The record is from RNAcentral.
GAUGAACGCUGGCGGCGUGCCUAAUACAUGCAAGUCGAGCGAACGGACGAGAAGCUUGCUUCUCUGAUGUUAGCGGCGGACGGGUGAGUAACACGUGUAUCACCUACCUAUAAUACUGAGAUAACUUCGGGAAACCGUCGCUAAUACCGGAUAAUAUUUUGCACCGCAUGGUUCAAAAGUGAAAGACGGUCUUGCUGUCACUUAUCGAUGGAUCUGGGCUGCAUUAGCUAGUUGGUACGGUAACGGCUUACCAAGGCAACGAUGCAUAGCCGACCUGAGAGAGGGAUCGGCCACACUGGAACGGGGACGCGGUCAAGACGCCUACGGGAGGCAGCAGUAGGGAAUGGGCGGCAAUGGGCGAAAGCCUGACGGAGCAACGCCGCGUGAGUGAUGGAGGUCUUCGGAUCGUGAAACUCUGUUAUUAGGGAAGAACAUAUGUGGAAGUAGCUGUGCACAGCUUGACGGUACCGAAUCAGAAAGCCACGGCUAACUACGUG